Agrilus planipennis (emerald ash borer) is the source of this 194-nucleotide non-coding RNA. The record is from Rfam. NCBI's taxonomy places the organism in Eukaryota, Metazoa, Arthropoda, Insecta, Coleoptera, Buprestidae.
AUAUUAUUACAGCCCGUAUACAUGCAGGAAUGCUCUUCGAAUUUCGGCUGAAGAGGACCCUAGUUGGUCCUAAAACGGCCUGAGGUAGAGGGGUUUUAGUCGGUAGGUCCGAGGACUUCUUCCUCGGGAAUCCGACACUACCCAGUCGUAUGGACGGCUGGGUGUUUUCUGAAGAUUUCCCCUCUUCCACGAAA